AUACGGAGGAUGCAAGCGUUAUCCGGAUUUAUUGGGUUUAAAGGGUGCGUAGGCGGUUUGCUAAGCGGGAGGUGAAAUGCCGGCGCUCAACGUCGGAAGUGCCUCCCGAACUGGUGGACUGGAAUGACUCUGCCGUGGGAGGAAUGUGUAGUGUAGCGGUGAAAUGCUUAGAGAUUACACAGAACACCGAUUGCGAAGGCAUCUCUCGAAGGGUUGAUUGACGCUGAGGCACGAAAGCGUGGGGAUCAAACAGUAUUAGAUACCCUGGUAGUCCACGCAGUAAACGAUGAUGGCUAACCGCUGGUUUAUUCGGAUCAGUGGCCAAGCGAAAGCGAUAAGCCAUCCACCUGGGGAGUACGACCGCAAGGUUGAAACUCAAAUGAAUUGACGGGG
Molecule: ribosomal RNA, 393 nt
Filed under: uncultured bacterium
Lineage: Bacteria
Description: partial 16S ribosomal RNA
Rfam family: Bacterial small subunit ribosomal RNA
Source: RNAcentral